UCUUUCUUUCUCUCUUUCCUUGCAGAACACUCAGAGACGCUAUGAAGAACACUACAGUAAAACACUCUCUUGCAGAAUAACAAAGCAAAAAACGAGAGAAAAGAUAAAACAAACGAAAAAAAGCUGAUAAAAUAUAAAAAAACUAACGAAACACAAGACUUUUUAAUAGUGGUUGGGAAGUGGCUUUCUCUAUGGCCAUGGGGUACGAGAGUGGUCUGAGAAUGGUCUGACCGUGGCCCCGUUGUGUGUGUUACUCCCCAAAGCUGUAUAUGGCAUCGUGGCGGCCAUACGGGGAAGAGCUACGGGAAGGACGGUAGUGGUUGUCAUUUCGCGGGGAUCAGAGGAUGCGGGCGCGGUUUUAUCAGCAACUGUAACAUCGGCGGGGCUGAGAGAGGUGUUACGGGACGGUGAAUUGUAUCAGUGACUCGAGAAACUUGGUGCAGUGUGUUGUGUGUGGCUGUGUGUGAACCCCCUUGAAAUGCUGUGACUCUUGCUACUGAAGGUCAAAUAAAUGGAAUCAGUGAAAGGCCUCCGUUGAAUUCCGCCACUACAAGUCUAUUCCUACAAGACUUUGAGAUGAUAUUAAAAAACGUGUGUGGCUGUAUGUAAACCUCUUGAAAUACUGUGACUCUUGCUACUGAAGGUCAAAUAGAUGGAACCAGUGAAAGGACUCCAUUGAAUUCCGCCGCUACAAGUCUAUUCCUACAAGACUUGGAGAUUAUUAAAAAAAACGUGUUUGGCUGUAUGUAAACCUCUUGAAACGCUUUGAUUCUUGCUACUGAAGGUUAAAUAAACGGAACCAGUGAAAGAACUCCAUUGAAUUCCGCCGCUACAAGUCUAUUACUACAAGACUUGGGGAUUAUAUUAAAGGUACACAGAGCAAUCUUAAUCUACGCUUCACAAAAUACUUAAGACUCGUGUGAGACUCGCUUAGGUAGCACGUGUGAACUCCAAAAACCCUUAAAACUGCCCUAAACCCCUAAGGAAACUCUCAUGUCCUUGACAGUGUGCUAAGCUUUCCCUGACGUGCCCCUGAGACCCUGAACAGCUAUCUAAGGGGUCCUGUUGCCUUUGAAGGGUUGUAAGGGGGAAACAGACUCCUCAAAGACACAUACUUAACUUGACCGUGGCUUCUUUUUUCCUCCUCCUUCACCAUGACGGAUGCUGCUCCCGCGCCUCUCACCCUCGCCACGCCCCCCGCGGCUGAUGGUGGCUCUGGUGUGCUCCCCCUGCCCCCGACGCCCCCCGACUCGGCCUCUGAUAUGACCCUGCUCACCUCCACAACCUCCACCUCCUCCACCACCUCCAACAACAACAACGAUGACAACAACAACACGGACACCACGCCCCCCGGCUCUCCCAAAUCAGCUUUACAAAGCAAGAGAGAGAUGUUCUUCAAAUCAGAGGCAGGCAGUGGCGGUGGUGGUGGUGGCGGCCCCCCUCUAAGUGCCCCAUCCGCCGCUCCCCCUGCUCCACCCGUCAGUGCCCCCUCAACAGCGCCUCCCCCACCCCCCUCUUCCACCACCCCUGCCCCCGCCGCCCCCACCUCGGCGCCCCCAGCGAGUGUGGCCUCCAUCAAGGAACAGCUCAUGACCACCAAGGAGAGGAAAGACCACAAGGAAGAGGAAAAUAAAGAGAACAAGCUGGUGAAGGAGCUGGUGAGAGAGCGGCGCCCGAGGGAGGUGGAUGGCUACGUGGGUUUCGCUAACCUCCCCAACCAGGUGUACCGUAAGGCUGUCAAGAGAGGUUUCGAGUUCUCCCUCAUGCUUGUCGGUGAGAGUGGGCUGGGCAAGAGCACGCUAAUCAACUCCAUGUUCCUGGCUGACAUUUACUCCAACGAUCACCCGGGGCCUUCCCACCGAGUGAAGAAAACUGUGCAGGUGGAAACGACCAAGGUGCUGCUGAAGGAGAACGGGGUCAACCUGAUGCUGACAGUUGUGGACACGCCGGGCUUUGGUGAUGCCGUGGACAACAGUGACUGCUGGCAGCCAGUCACCAACUAUGUGGAAUCCAAGUAUGAGGAGUACCUGAACUGCGAGUCUCGGGUGAAUCGGACGCAGAUCAGCGACACCAGGGUCCACUGUUGCCUGUAUUUCAUCGCUCCAUCUGGUCAUGGCCUGAAGCCGCUAGACGUGGAGUACAUGCGACGGCUGCACGACAAGGUGAACAUCAUUCCCGUCAUAGCCAAGGCCGACACGCUCACCCCCGACGAGUGCCAGCACCUCAAGAAACAGGUCCUGAAUGAAAUAGCGCAGCACAAGAUCAAGAUUUAUGAGUUCCCUGACGAGGAGGGAGAUGCCACCAGCACCAAGAUGAAGCAGCGGGUUCCCUUCGCUGUGGUCGGCUCCAACACCACGGUGGAGGUGGACGGGAAGAAGGUCCGGGGCAGGAAGUACCCUUGGGGAGUUGUGGAAGUGGAGAACAUCGAGCACUGUGACUUCAUCCCUCUGCGCAACAUGAUGAUCCGGACACACAUGCAGGACCUCAAGGACGUCACCAACAACGUCCACUACGAGAACUACCGCUGCCGCAAGCUGGCCGGGGUGGGCGGAACGGACGGCAAGAUUAAGAUGACCAAUAAGAACCCACUAGCACAAAUGGAGGAGGAGAAGAAGGAGCACACAAACCGCAUGAAGAAGAUGGAGAUUGAAAUGGAGCUGGUGUUUGAGAUGAAGGUGAAGGAGAAAAUGACAAAGAUCAGCGACCUUGAGAAUGAUCUUGAGAAACGUAAAGAGUCAAUGCGCAAGAAAUUGGAGGCAGACUUUACAGAGCUUGAGGAAGAGCGGGAGAGGUUUGAGAAGGAGCGCAAGGCUUGGGAGGCGGCAAAUGGCACCACUGUGGAUGAACUGAGGCGCAAAUCCCUCGAGUCCAUAAGCAGAGACAAAUGGAGCUCUCGAUCAAGUUUGCAUUUCUGGCACCGCUAGUUCGCUCCCGCUUGUUGCCCUCAUCCCUAAGCUUUAGUCCAGCCGCCCCAUGUGCCAAGGGCAUGUGGAUGGGAAAGAGAAACCCAAAAAGAGGAAAGGACUGUUUUAAAAAGCAAUGCUGCAGUUUCCACUACCUUAAAACAACACCUUACCUGCCAAACAAAAAAAGAACAAAAAAAUAUUACUGCUUCAACCACUUCAUUCCAUACUUCUUCACUUGCCCCUCCAUUCCCUUCAGUCCCUCCACACUUGUACCCAUUGCUAUCCCUCUCCAAUCAGCCCCUUUCCUUAGUCCAUCCCACCCCCCAACACACCUCUUCCCCUCUCCACCCUCUGUUUUCAAAGACCCUCAGAAAUUUCCUCAAAGUUCCCUGUGCCUGAGAACAUUAGUGUCUUGUUGGAGUGUCAGUAGCCCGGCAAGGGAGGCAGCGGCGGCAGCGCCAACACCAAACUGUCACGGCACUGUGUGGCAUGAAACACCAUCCCAGCAGUGCCACACCUGCCUAUAAUUAAGUUAGCUGUCUGCACCAAGGCCAACUCUCAGUGCCUAUGGAGUGUGACUGUGUUCUUGAAAGAAUAUAUGGCCUGUCUGCCUUGAUGCUUCUGUACACACCUUGUGUACUUGUGAAAAGCUUACUUGCACCUGAAAACUGUGCCAACAAACUUUAAAAACAAGAAAAAUGACAAGGUUGAAACUCUUAACACCCUGAGUGGCAGGGCUGGCAGACAUGUCCAUCUGGGAGGUCAUGCCAUGGACCAUGUUCCCCUGCGGCAAGGAUGUGACGCUGAGGGCCGCCCUCGUGAAGUGCUGCUGCUCAUCUACUGCUGCCACAUCAACACUGACUGCCCAUAGUGCUGGUCCAUUGUGGGCUUGUGUGUCAGGCAGGGCACUCACCACUGCCCACUUCAAAGCCAUCCUCAUCCCCUUCCUGCCACCUUGUAUCAUCUCCCACACUCCCCUUGACAUCCCUCAACACAUCCCCAUGUAUCCCUCCACAGUCUCAUGUGGUUAUGUAGCUCCAUACAUCCUCCCUACCACCAACACCAUUACAUAACAUGUCCAUAGAUUUUAUUCAGUUUGUUACAGCCUCAUCUAAAACAACAUGAUAUCACCCUUUUUUCCUUGCCUCCCUUCACAGCACCCCAAAGUUCCCCAUAAAUGUCAUAACUUUAUUUGAAUCCCCCUUGACAUCCCCAUCAUCUCCUCUCAGCCUCUCUACUGCCUUUAAGUUUAUCUCCUGUGGUGGUUCAUUCCAGUGUGCUGGCAUGUGCCCUCCCUGCCUCCCACCCUCACACUCAGGCAUCCCACCUAAUGCUCCUCUGCAGUGCUGGGGGUGGGAGGGGCAGGGGUGCUGUGGUGAGGUGCUGUGGAGGUCUGUACAUCCCUGCCACCUCCCCCCAUGCCACAACCCACAAGUAGUAGUUAGUUCAUAUUCAUCUGUGUCUCAAGGGGAGGGAAGAAGAAGAACCUGUUUACGUCUUGCCCUCCCUCCCUACCAGGCACACUCGAGUUAAAGAUGAGGUACAGGAUGUGCUCUGACUCCUCACACCAUGCCCUUCACUGGCCUGUCUCACACCUCAUCAGCACUUGUUAAUUUCCACCUUUGCUUUUUGCUCAGUGUCCGUCAAGCAGAAUGUGCAUAGGUCCCUCAACGCCAAUGUUUGUGUCAGCCACCAUCCAUGUGCAGGCUUUGAAGACAGGCCGAGUGGCUGCCUGACACUGGUGGUUUACUUGAAGCCAGUAUGUGUUAUGACUUGCCAUGUAUGAUGUGUCUGUUGACCUACAUAGCUGUAUUUUUUAACUGAUCAGAGACCCACUUGACUUCCUCAUAACUGCUUCUUGUCCAUGCUUAAGUUGUCUGCCAGGAGUGCGUUUCGUGUUCAUGUAGAAAUCAUAACCCUCUAAGACAUCGAUUGGACUGCAACGUAACAAUGCUUCCUUGUCCCUGCCGGAGUCGUCUGCCGUGGGGGUGGUGGGCUGGCCAGGGACCUAGUGAGGGGCUAGGCUAGGGGCACCUCAAAGGCUGGCUGGGCUGUGUUGGACCACUAGAUUAAAUAUGGGGGAAACUUUUUCAUUUGUAAGACAUAGAAUAGCUGCCCUUGCCUUUCUUUGCCCCCUCUGACCCUCCCUGGGGCCAGGUCAGCACGGGUCAGGGGUCACAUCCUUACAUGGUGUAAAUAGUGUACUUACAACUGUAGGAGGUUUAAGUCUGUGUAAACAAAGGGUAUUAUUAGACUUUUUUUUUUUUUUUUUUUUUUUUUUUUAGUUCUGCCUUCAAUUUCCUACUGUAUUAAUAGUUUACUUUUAUUUUAUUAUUUUUGGUUAUCAUGAUUAUGAUAAUUAACAUCUUCAUCCUUUCAACUAGUCGUUAUUCCUACAUACAUUUUUUUAUUUUAUUUUAUUUCAUAUUGUAUUCAGUUCACUGUUUGGCCCACUGCCACUGAACUGUAAAUAAGUGUAUACAUUUAUAUUGUUCAAACAACCAGCCUCUCCAAGGCCUGUUUGUAGCCUCUUCUUAUUUAUCUCUCAAUAAAGUGUGUGCUCUGC
Molecule: unclassified non-coding RNA, 5472 nt
Filed under: Portunus trituberculatus (swimming crab)
Lineage: Eukaryota; Metazoa; Arthropoda; Malacostraca; Decapoda; Portunidae
Description: septin-7-like, transcript variant X11
Source: RNAcentral